UCGCUACUACCGAUUGAAUGGCUUAGUGAGGUCUUCGGACUGCCGCGGUUUGAGCUGGCAACAGCGCUGCCGCGGCGGAAAGUUGAACAAACUUGGUCAUUUAGAGGAAGUAA
This 113-nucleotide ribosomal RNA is filed under the name uncultured eukaryote. RNAcentral describes it as "partial small subunit ribosomal RNA". It matches the Rfam family "Eukaryotic small subunit ribosomal RNA", at positions 1676 to 1785 of the family's 1831-position model. The record is from RNAcentral.